UACGAAGGGGGCUAGCGUUGUUCGGCCUUACUGGGCGUAAAGCGCGCGUAGGCGGACUUUCAAGUCUGUGGUGAAAUCCCGAGGCGCAACCUCGGAACUGCCUUUGAUACUGUGAGUCUUGCGCUCGGAAGAGGUGGGUGGAAUUCCUAGUGUAGAGGUGAAAUUCGUAGAUAUUAGGAAGAACACCAGUGGCGAAGGCGGCCCACUGGUCAGAUGCUGACGCUGAGGUGCGAAAGCGUGGGGAGCAAACAGG
This 253-nucleotide ribosomal RNA is filed under the name uncultured bacterium. Its description in RNAcentral is "partial 16S ribosomal RNA". It matches the Rfam family "Bacterial small subunit ribosomal RNA", at positions 524 to 776 of the family's 1533-position model. The record is from RNAcentral.